Daucus carota subsp. sativus is the source of this 548-nucleotide long non-coding RNA. RefSeq lists it as uncharacterized. The transcript is spliced from 2 exons. The record is from RefSeq and is a predicted model, not a curated record. NCBI's taxonomy places the organism in Eukaryota, Viridiplantae, Streptophyta, Magnoliopsida, Apiales, Apiaceae.
UUUACAAUUUCAAGUACAAUAUUAAUUCUUCAACUCAAUCUGAUAUGGCCAAUCCUAACAACAACAGCAGAGCUUCCUUGUUUGCCCUAGCCCUCGCUCUUUUUCUCCUCAUCGCAGUAGCUCAGAGCAAACCAGGUUACCGCAUUCCAGUUCCUGCAGGGCCAACAUGUGAUACAGUGUUCGGAGUGAGGAAAGGGGACACUUGUUUCGACAUCGGUCAGAAUUUCAAGCUCUCGGCUCAUGAUUUUAAUUGUAUCAACCCUAAUGUCAAUUGCGCUGCAUUGUUCGUGGGGCAAUGGGUUUGUAUUAGCGGAACCGCUUGAAAAGAUUAUGGAUCCUCCUGAACUGAAGUUUCGAAAGUACUGUCGAAUAAACUAAAGUGUAGCCAAGCAAGGUCGUUAGGCUAAGUUUGAGAAGCUACUUCUGUUGUUCUUUUUGUUGUGUUUGGUACUAAAUAAUUGGAUGUUUAUAUAAUGCAUCCCCAGGUUUGCUUCUUCAUUGUAACCCUGAGAAUUCCAUAACGUGGAAGUACAACAGUGCUGUUAAUA